AUUGAACGCUGGCGGCAUGCCUUACACAUGCAAGUCGAACGGUAACGCGGGGCAACCUGGCGACGAGUGGCGAACGGGUGAGUAAAGCAUCGGAACGUGCCCAGUAGUGGGGGAUAGCCCGGCGAAAGCCGGAUUAAUACCGCAUACGACCUACGGGUGAAAGGGGGGGAUCGCAAGACCUCUCGCUAUUGGAGCGGCCGAUGUCAGAUUAGGUAGUUGGUGGGGUAAAGGCCUACCAAGCCUGCGAUCUGUAGCUGGUCUGAGAGGACGACCAGCAGCACUGGGACUGGGACACGGCCCAGACUCCUACGGGAGGCAGCAGUGGGGAAUAUUGCACAAUGGGCGCAAGCCUGAUGCAGCCAUGCCGCGUGCGGGAAGAAGGCCUUCGGGUUGUAAACCGCUUUUGUCAGGGAAGAAAAGCCUUGGGUUAAUACCCUGGGGUGAUGACGGUACCUGAAGAAUAAGCACCGGCUAACUACGUGCCAGCAGCCGCCGUAA
Molecule: ribosomal RNA, 498 nt
Filed under: uncultured bacterium
Lineage: Bacteria
Description: partial 16S ribosomal RNA
Rfam family: Bacterial small subunit ribosomal RNA
Source: RNAcentral